UCAUUUAAGCCGUGAACUUCAGAGAUUUUGCUCGCGCAAGAAAUUUGUGAUUACGUCAGCGAAAUUUCAAGAUGGUAGUCGCGGCUGCGGCAUCAAAGAAUUGUUUGUUUUUGAUUUGUAUGCUUGAUUGAUUUUAAAUAAAAGAUCUAUUGAAUUGUGAUUAAGGUAUUAUUUUUGGCUUCGGAAAGUUUGACCACGUGCUUGGGAAUUUCAAUCAAGCAGAAACAAGGAAGAAGGAACUUCGCAAGUAUGUCGGUGGCUCUUCAGGGAAAUAUGGAAUCAUUUUAAAAGUUUCGUUUUGCUCAUCCCAGGAUAAUGCUCAAAUAAUCGCGUUCAGAAGUUUUUCUGAACAAACUAAUUGCAUACUCGUAUGGAGGAAUACUUGGUUAACCUUCUAAAAAAACUCGAAUCUUACUUACAUAUUUUUUUUACGAGAUAUGUGAGUCUAAAGUUUGGGAAUUUUCGUGGUCGUUGAAGUCAAUCGAAAAGUCGAAAAAUCAACAUGGUGUCAUUGGCAAUGGAUUAAUAACCUGAUAUUUUUCUAGCAACAACUAAAGCUAAGUUUAAAGUCUUGUUAAUAUGUUCGUGGUAAUGGCUUCAUGAACAAGAUUAAUUUUGUUGUGGUAAUCUUGAACAAGAUAUUCCAAGUCGCGUAUUUUAAUUUGUGCCGCCACAUAUGACUCAAAGCUUUCAUCUGUCAUUGUUUUGUUUUUGAUUGCGGCACUGCCUGCUAUCUUGACAUCCAAGAGAUGACAUUGAUCUUCUAGCAUAUUGAAAAAUUUCAAAUAUGUUCCCAAAGAAAUGUGUAGUGAUGGUAGUGCUACCUGGAGAGAAAUAAUAUGUGAAAGUUAUUUUUGCAUUUUAACUUCCUUUAGUCAAAUUGAAAUUACUAACUUGAUCAAGAGGUAUGUUGAACAUAGCAUCGUCAAUAACAUUAUUGAAGUUUUUUGCGUUACUUAUGUUGCCGCCAGCAUUUCGAAAUCUUGUUAGGUCACUUUUCAGUGAUUCCAAGGUUCGUUUUUUUAUUGUUCCUCUUUUUAAUGGAGGUGUUUUCAUUUCUUUUGAUGUUAUUUCACAAAAAAGGCAGCAAUGACGACCUGUAGAAAAUUUAAUUGAAAUAUUGAGUGAUUGCAACACCAUUUAGAAUAAUUUUUCUUUUUUUUUGAAAGUUACAUACCGCUUGCACCCGUUAUUCCAUAUAUCACACACAAAAAUUCAUAGUCACCGAACAUGAAUACCCUGAUAUUUCUUUGUCUAAAAAAUAUUUAGUAUAUGCAUAAUUCCCUUUUUCAAAUUCAUGAAUUUGCUGCCUUUUUAGCAUUUGUUUUUAACAUUCUAGGAAAUAUAUAUUGUAGUAUAUUUUAGUAUUUUUAUAGUUUUUAUGGUUUUUGCAAUUUUUGAUUACUGUAUGAAAAUAUUUUUUUCAUUGAUACGUCAAUUCUGUAACUCACCUCCAGUCUAAUGUUUGUAGUAAAUCUAUUUGAUCACUGAAUCGCGACAAACCUAGUUUCAAGUUUAUCCUAAAGUCUUUUGCCUCAAAAUAGCUAAACACAACUGUGUUUCCUCUGCUAUUUGGAUGAACUGUGUUACAACAUUGGUAGGACAUCUUAAAUGAUUUUCCUCCAUGGUCUCCUCCGAUUUUCACAUGAAUUUCAUUUUGAUAGGUGCUUCUUUCAACAAACUGAGAAUGUCUAAAUGAAAUUCAGUCCAUGUGUGUUACUUGCAAUGAUACAUUAAUACAAUUUUUAAUAUUGUAAGUUUGAAUUGAAUGUCAAUCUGAUAAUUUGAUAAGUUUACCAUUUUAAAGUUUAAUAGCCAAAAAAGCAACUUCCUACAUAUUGAAAGUUUUAACUUACUCUGUGAGUGCAUCAAGAUAAUACAGAAUAUGUGUAACAACAUCAAUAAGAUAACCCCAUGGUGCAUCCUCAAACAAGAAUUUCCCCUUUUUGUCCUUUGGGAACUGGAAGUUUAUCAUUUCAACAGCUAUAUCUUCACCAGUCCAUUUUUUAGCUAUUUGUCGUUGUUUUGAUUGAGAGUCAACGUUUAUUUUCAAUGAUUUUAGCCACCUGUAAUUUAACACAGAAAAGGAAUACGAAAUUUAUUGAUAAAUUUAUAUAAUAUUAUGCAUUUUUGGCUGUUUUUAGCACAUGACAUAAUUUGAUAAUUUUAAUUUGCUCACCUUCCCAUCUUUUUCAGUUUCUCCCAGGGAAUUCCAAGAUCAACUUUCAUUGCUAUCAUUGUUUCUGCACUUAUAACAGAAGGAAAAACAUCUGCCUGACUCAAAAUUUUCUCUUUAUCUUCUUCAGUGAAGGAUUUUACUAACUUCGAGGUUUGUGUUACCAAUGUCUCAGCACCACCACCUGAAUUAUCAAGCAAUAGCAAAAUUAUGUGCUUAUAUUGUAUUAUGGUUGUAUGACUUGAAAGUUUCCAGUUCAAACUUUUAUGAGUACACUUUUGCUGUAUAUAUGUUAUAUGAAUUCAUUUUUUGAAA
Molecule: long non-coding RNA, 2491 nt
Organism: Hydractinia symbiolongicarpus
Lineage: Eukaryota; Metazoa; Cnidaria; Hydrozoa; Anthoathecata; Hydractiniidae
Exons: 2
Source: RefSeq, a predicted model, not a curated record